UGUGCUGCUAUGAACUCCGGUUGUUGGGUGGGAGUGAGUGAAGAUUUUCGUUGUUCAUUCGCAGGCCAAGAGCAUGGAAACACUGGACUGUCCGUUGUGUGGACUGAAUGGCUUCUUGGAAGGUCCUGGGCUUUGAAAGGCAGUUGUCGAGGGAUUUGGAUACCGAGAGACCGUAAUGUCGCUCUUGAGUCCUUCAUGGAGUGAAGCACAUCACUGGUGUUACUGGCAAAUAGUUUUUCACCAU
Long non-coding RNA from Chelonia mydas (Green sea turtle), 244 nucleotides. RefSeq lists it as uncharacterized. The transcript is spliced from 2 exons. The record is from RefSeq and is a predicted model, not a curated record. NCBI's taxonomy places the organism in Eukaryota, Metazoa, Chordata, Testudines, Cheloniidae.